This 72-nucleotide transfer RNA is filed under the name Bos taurus (domestic cattle). It matches the Rfam family "tRNA". Rfam says of the family: Transfer RNA (tRNA) molecules are approximately 80 nucleotides in length. Their secondary structure includes four short double-helical elements and three loops (D, anti-codon, and T loops). Lineage: Eukaryota; Metazoa; Chordata; Mammalia; Artiodactyla; Bovidae. The record is from Rfam by way of RNAcentral. RNAcentral also lists the same sequence under 4 other names.
UCUCUGGUGGUCCAGUGGCUAAGACUCCUGCUUCCAAUGCAGAGGGCCUGGGUUCAGUCCCUGGUCAGGGAA